RNAcentral lists this small nuclear RNA (280 nucleotides) under Carlito syrichta (Philippine tarsier). RNAcentral describes it as "7SK RNA (ENSTSYG00000019951.2)". It matches the Rfam family "7SK RNA", at positions 1 to 285 of the family's 331-position model. From Rfam's summary of the family: 7SK was discovered as an abundant small nuclear RNA in the mid-70s but a possible function has only recently been suggested. Two independent studies have found that 7SK RNA binds the CDK9/cyclin T complex (known as elongation factor P-TEFb). The record is from RNAcentral. Lineage: Eukaryota; Metazoa; Chordata; Mammalia; Primates; Tarsiidae.
GGAUGUGAGGGCAAUCUGGCUGCCACAUCUGUCACCUUACUGACCCCCAGGGUUGAUUCGGUUGAUCUGGCUGACUAGGCCAGUGUCCCCUUCCUCCCCCAGUGCUCUAUGUAGGUCCCUCUCAAAGCUGCACACUCAGUCAAAGAGGACGGCCAUCGGUACCAGAGGAGGACCGUUCUUCGGUCAAGGGUGUAGAUUAGUGGCAUUGCCCUGCUAAAACCACCAAAAAGUUCUCAAGGUCAAAUGUCAUUUGCUGAUAUGUAACCACUUGAAACAGGCU